GCAGUGGGAUCAUAUGAAGAUAAAAUAUUCCUCAAAAGAGCACGUUUGCACCAGCGGCAGUCAGAAAGAAUAAAGCGGGAAAAGGCACAGGCGAGAAGGGGAGACGAUGUAGCGCCUCAAGUUCAACCUGAUUCCUUGGUUCCAGUUGCUAGAUUUCGUGGUUCUCGUCUUGCUUCUGCUCCUUCACCUUCGCCAUUUCAGCAGAGUUUAGAGAGCUCAAUUUCUUUUAGUAAAGAAAACCAGCAUGGACGGACUGCAGAUGUUCAGGCCCAUAAAGUUGCUCGUUUUUCUUCAUCAGCUAGUGUUGGUGCUGCCAUUGUUGAAGCAGAGAACAGUCUGGAAAUAGAAGUAAACGAAAAUAAGGAAGAUUUGAAAACUAAGCUUAAGGAGAUACUUCGCGAGAAGAAUGAUGUUUUUAACUCAAAAAAUCCAGAAGAAGACAAGGUAAAAUUGGGAGAACCAGGGUGGAAGGAAAGGUAUUAUGAAGAAAAAUUUUCUGCAAAAACUCCUGAGGAACUUGAAAACAUACGGAAAGAUGUUGUUUUGAGGUACACUGAAGGGCUAUGUUGGGUCAUGCACUAUUACUAUGAAGGAGUUUGUUCUUGGCAGUGGUUUUAUCCCUAUCAUUAUGCACCCUUUGCUUCUGAUCUCAAAGAUCUAGAUCAGAUGAAGAUUGAUUUUGAACUGGGCUCCCCAUUCAAACCAUUCGAUCAGCUUAUGGGAGUUUUUCCUGCUGCAAGUGCCCAUGCUCUUCCUGUGCAUUAUAGAAAGUUGAUGACUGAUCCAAAUUCACCUAUUAUUGAUUUUUACCCUACUGAUUUUGAAGUGGACAUGAAUGGAAAGCGGUAUGCAUGGCAGGGUAUUGCAAAGUUGCCCUUCAUUGAUGAGGCUCGGCUUCUUGCGGAGGUCAAUAAGAUUGAACAUACGCUAACGGAGGAGGAAGCAAGGAGAAACAGUAUGAUGUUUGACAUGCUUUUUGUGUUAUCAUCUCAUUCUCUUGCUGAGAGUAUAUAUUUACUUG
This 1021-nucleotide unclassified non-coding RNA is filed under the name Hevea brasiliensis (rubber tree). The record is from RNAcentral. Lineage: Eukaryota; Viridiplantae; Streptophyta; Magnoliopsida; Malpighiales; Euphorbiaceae.